Molecule: small nuclear RNA, 124 nt
Organism: Juglans microcarpa x Juglans regia
Lineage: Eukaryota; Viridiplantae; Streptophyta; Magnoliopsida; Fagales; Juglandaceae
Source: RefSeq, a predicted model, not a curated record
GUGUUUGUAGAAAGGAGAGAUGGCAUCUCUCCUGACAGGGACGGGAACAGCCUUUGGGCGUACCUGUUACCACACAUACGGUUAAGGCUUCCCACCUUCUAUGGUGCUUAAACCCAUUUUUACU